AUUGAACGCUGGCGGCAGGCCUAACACAUGCAAGUCGAGCGGAUGAAGGGAGCUUGCUCCUGGAUUCAGCGGCGGACGGGUGAGUAAUGCCUAGGAAUCUGCCUGGUAGUGGGGGAUAACGUCCGGAAACGGGCGCUAAUACCGCAUACGUCCUGAGGGAGGAAGUGGGGGAUCUUCGGACCUCACGCUAUCAGAUGAGCCUAGGUCGGAUUAGCUAGUUGGUGGGGUAAAGGCCUACCAAGGCGACGAUCCGUAACUGGUCUGAGAGGAUGAUCAGUCACACUGGAACUGAGACACGGUCCAGACUCCUACGGGAGGCAGCAGUGGGGAAUAUUGGACAAUGGGCGAAAGCCUGAUCCAGCCAUGCCGCGUGUGUGAAGAAGGUCUUCGGAUUGUAAAGCACUUUAAGUUGGGAGGAAGGGCAGCAAGUUAAUACCUUGCUGUUUUGACGUUACCAACAGAAUAAGCACCGGCUAACUUCGUG
RNAcentral lists this ribosomal RNA (484 nucleotides) under uncultured bacterium. Its description in RNAcentral is "partial 16S ribosomal RNA". It matches the Rfam family "Bacterial small subunit ribosomal RNA", at positions 30 to 507 of the family's 1533-position model. The record is from RNAcentral.